Molecule: ribosomal RNA, 353 nt
Filed under: uncultured fungus
Lineage: Eukaryota; Fungi
Description: LSU rRNA
Rfam family: Eukaryotic large subunit ribosomal RNA
Source: RNAcentral
AUAUUGGGGAGAGACCGAUAGCGAACAAGUACCGUGAGGGAAAGAUGAAAAGCACUUUGGAAAGAGAGUUAAACAGUACGUGAAAUUGUUGAAAGGGAAGCGCUUGAAGUUAGUCAUGCUUGCCUGGAUUCAGCCUUGCUUUUGCUUGGUGCAUUUCCAGGUUUGCAGGUCAGCAUCGGUUUUGACUGCUGGAUAAGGGUGAGAGGAAUGUGGCACCCUCGGGUGUGUUAUAGCCUUUCACUGGAUGCAGCAGUUGGGACCGAGGAGCGCAGCGCGCCUUUAUGGCGGACCUUCGGGUACCUUCGCGCUUAGGAUGCUGGCAUAAUAGCCUCAAGUGACCCGUCUUGAAACAC